RNAcentral lists this ribosomal RNA (484 nucleotides) under uncultured bacterium. Its description in RNAcentral is "bacterial SSU rRNA". It matches the Rfam family "Bacterial small subunit ribosomal RNA", at positions 30 to 507 of the family's 1533-position model. The record is from RNAcentral.
AUUGAACGCUGGCGGAAUGCUUUACACAUGCAAGUCGAACGGCAGCACGGACUUCGGUCUGGUGGCGAGUGGCGAACGGGUGAGUAACAUAUCGGAACGUAUCCAAUAAUGGGGGAUAACUAAUCGAAAGGUUGGCUAAUACCGCAUACGCCCUGAGGGGGAAAGCUAGGGAUCUUCGGACCUGGCGUUAAUGGAGCGGCCGAUAUCUGAUUAGCUAGUUGGUGGGGUAAAGGCCCACCAAGGCGACGAUCAGUAGCUGGUCUGAGAGGACGACCAGCCGCACUGGAACUGAGACACGGUCCAGACUCCUACGGGAGGCAGCAGUGGGGAAUUUUGGACAAUGGGCGCAAGCCUGAUCCAGCCAUUCCGCGUGAGUGAAGAAGGCCUUCGGGUUGUAAAGCUCUUUCGCAAGGGAAGAAAACUUAUCCUCUAACAUAGGAUGAGGUUGACGGUACCUUGAUAAGAAGCACCGGCUAACUACGUG